This 492-nucleotide ribosomal RNA is filed under the name uncultured bacterium. RNAcentral describes it as "partial 16S ribosomal RNA". It matches the Rfam family "Bacterial small subunit ribosomal RNA", at positions 29 to 507 of the family's 1533-position model. The record is from RNAcentral.
AGUGAACGCUGGCGGUAGGCCUAACACAUGCAAGUCGAACGGCAGCACAGUAAGAGCUUGCUCUUACGGGUGGCGAGUGGCGGACGGGUGAGGAAUACAUCGGAAUCUACUUUUUCGUGGGGGAUAACGUAGGGAAACUUACGCUAAUACCGCAUACGACCUACGGGUGAAAGCAGGGGAUCUUCGGACCUUGCGCGAUUGAAUGAGCCGAUGUCGGAUUAGCUAGUUGGCGGGGUAAAGGCCCACCAAGGCGACGAUCCGUAGCUGGACUGAGAGGAUGAUCAGCCACACUGGAACUGGGACACGGUCCAGACUCCUACGGGAGGCAGCAGUGGGGAAUAUUGGGCAAUGGGCGCAAGCAUGACACAGCCAUACCGCGUGGGUGAAGAAGGCCUUCGGGUUGUAAAGCCCUUUUGUUGGGAAAGAAAAGCAGCAGGUUAAUACCCCGCUGUUCCGACGGUACCCAAAGAAGAAGCACCGGCUAACUUCGUG